UGGUGGGGUGACCCGUCUGGUUAAUUUCGAUAACGAACGAGAUCCGAGCUGUUUAGUUGGCCGUGUCUGCUUUGCAGGCAUGUGUCUCCUAUAUGGACUGUCAGUGUGAGGCUGAAGGAAGUUUCGGGCUAAAUCA
RNAcentral lists this ribosomal RNA (136 nucleotides) under uncultured eukaryote. RNAcentral's name for it is "partial 18S ribosomal RNA". It matches the Rfam family "Eukaryotic small subunit ribosomal RNA", at positions 1299 to 1458 of the family's 1831-position model. The record is from RNAcentral.